UACGUAGGGGGCUAGCGUUGUCCGGAUUCAUUGGGCGUAAAGCGCUCGUAGGCGGCCCGGUAAGUCCGCUGUGAAAGUCAAAGGCUCAACCUUUGAAUGUCAGUGGAUACUGCCGGGCUAGAGUCCGGAAGAGGCGAGUGGAACUCCUGGUGUAGCGGUGGAAUGCGCAGAUAUCAGGAAGAACACCGACGGCGAAGGCAGCUCGCUGGGACGGUACUGACGCUGAGGCGCGAAAGCGUGGGGAGCGAACAGG
This 253-nucleotide ribosomal RNA is filed under the name uncultured bacterium. Its description in RNAcentral is "partial 16S ribosomal RNA". It matches the Rfam family "Bacterial small subunit ribosomal RNA", at positions 524 to 776 of the family's 1533-position model. The record is from RNAcentral.